RNAcentral lists this ribosomal RNA (253 nucleotides) under uncultured bacterium. Its description in RNAcentral is "partial 16S ribosomal RNA". It matches the Rfam family "Bacterial small subunit ribosomal RNA", at positions 524 to 776 of the family's 1533-position model. The record is from RNAcentral.
UACGAAGGGGGCUAGCGUUGCUCGGCAUCACUGGGCGUAAAGGGUGCGUAGGCGGGUCUUUAAGUCAGGGGGGAAAUCCUGGAGCUCAACUCCAGAACUGCCUUUGAUACUGAAGAUCUUGAGUUCGGGAGAGGUGAGUGGAACUGCGAGUGUAGAGGUGAAAUUCGUAGAUAUUCGCAAGAACACCAGUGGCGAAGGCGGCUCACUGGCCCGAUACUGACGCUGAGGCACGAAAGCGUGGGGAGCAAACAGG